CCCUUAGAUGUUCUGGGCCGCACGCGCGCUACACUGACGAAGUCAGCGAGCAUGUCCUACGCCGACAGGUGCGGGGAAUCUUGUCAAACUUCGUCGUGAUGGGGAUUGAUUAUUGAAAUUCUUGAUCAUCAACGAGGAAUUCCUAGUAAGCGCAAGUCAGCAGCUUGCGUUGAUUACGUCCCUGCCCUUUGUACACACCGCACGUCGCUACUACCGAUUGAAUGGUUUAGUGAGAUCUUCGGAUUGGCGCCACUGCGGCUCAGCAAUGGGCUCGGUGGAUGCCGAAAAGUUGAUCAAACUUGAUCAUUUAGAGGAAGUAAAAGUCGUAACA
Molecule: ribosomal RNA, 331 nt
Filed under: uncultured eukaryote
Lineage: Eukaryota
Description: partial 18S ribosomal RNA
Rfam family: Eukaryotic small subunit ribosomal RNA
Source: RNAcentral